Molecule: small nucleolar RNA, 93 nt
Filed under: Erinaceus europaeus (western European hedgehog)
Lineage: Eukaryota; Metazoa; Chordata; Mammalia; Eulipotyphla; Erinaceidae
Description: Small nucleolar RNA U3 (ENSEEUG00000022144.1)
Rfam family: Small nucleolar RNA U3 (bases 1-41)
Source: RNAcentral
AAGACUAUACUUUCAGGGAUCAUUUCUAUAGUAUGUAAUAUACCUCUUUUAAUUAUUUCAUGCAUAAAUUUCAAAAUGAAUCAAUGGUAAUGC